This 557-nucleotide ribosomal RNA is filed under the name uncultured bacterium. RNAcentral describes it as "bacterial SSU rRNA". It matches the Rfam family "Bacterial small subunit ribosomal RNA", at positions 102 to 694 of the family's 1533-position model. The record is from RNAcentral.
ACGGGUGAGUAACACGUGGGAACGUACCCUUUUCUACGGAAUAACCCAGGGAAACUUGGACUAAUACCGUAUGUGCCCUUCGGGGGAAAGAUUUAUCGGAAAAGGAUCGGCCCGCGUUGGAUUAGCUAGUUGGUGGGGUAAAGGCCUACCAAGGCGACGAUCCAUAGCUGGUCUGAGAGGAUGAUCAGCCACAUUGGGACUGAGACACGGCCCAAACUCCUACGGGAGGCAGCAGUGGGGAAUAUUGGACAAUGGGCGCAAGCCUGAUCCAGCCAUGCCGCGUGAGUGAUGAAGGCCUUAGGGUUGUAAAGCUCUUUCACCGGAGAAGAUAAUGACGGUAUCCGGAGAAGAAGCCCCGGCUAACUUCGUGCCAGCAGCCGCGGUAAUACGAAGGGGGCUAGCGUUGUUCGGAUUUACUGGGCGUAAAGCGCACGUAGGCGGAUCGAUCAGUCAGGGGUGAAAUCCCAGAGCUCAACUCUGGAACUGCCUUUGAUACUGUCAAUCUGGAGUAUGGAAGAGGUGAGUGGAAUUCCGAGUGUAGAGGUGAAAUUCGUAGA